RNAcentral lists this small RNA (67 nucleotides) under Pontibacillus yanchengensis Y32. Its description in RNAcentral is "Bacillaceae-1 RNA". It matches the Rfam family "Bacillaceae-1 RNA". The record is from Rfam by way of RNAcentral. Lineage: Bacteria; Bacillati; Bacillota; Bacilli; Caryophanales; Bacillaceae.
AGAAGGAGAAGUUCAACUAAGACCGUCACAUCCUGUGACAACGUUGAACUUCCCUACGUCGUGUAGG